This 83-nucleotide transfer RNA is filed under the name Candidatus Omnitrophota bacterium. Its description in RNAcentral is "tRNA-Leu". It matches the Rfam family "tRNA". Rfam says of the family: Transfer RNA (tRNA) molecules are approximately 80 nucleotides in length. Their secondary structure includes four short double-helical elements and three loops (D, anti-codon, and T loops). Lineage: Bacteria; Pseudomonadati; Candidatus Omnitrophota. The record is from RNAcentral.
GCCGAGGUGGUGGAAUGGCAGACACGCCAGUCUCAAAAACUGGUGGGGUUACACCCAUGAGGGUUCAACUCCCUCCCUCGGCA